This 171-nucleotide ribosomal RNA is filed under the name uncultured bacterium. RNAcentral describes it as "partial 16S ribosomal RNA". It matches the Rfam family "Bacterial small subunit ribosomal RNA", at positions 335 to 497 of the family's 1533-position model. The record is from RNAcentral.
AUUCCUACGGGAGGCAGCAGUGGGGAAUCUUCCGCAAUGGACGAAAGUCUGACGGAGCAACGCCGCGUGUAUGAAGAAGGCCUUCGGGUUGUAAAAUACUGUUGUUCGGGAAGAACCGUCCGAGUGUGAAUAAUGCUCGGGCCUGACGGUACCGAACGAGGAAGCCCCGGC